RNAcentral lists this long non-coding RNA (3371 nucleotides) under Gallus gallus (chicken). RNAcentral describes it as "lncRNA (ENSGALG00010003314.1)". The record is from RNAcentral. Lineage: Eukaryota; Metazoa; Chordata; Aves; Galliformes; Phasianidae.
CGUGUUUAUUGUUGCUGCUGCUAGGGUUCAGUUGGCAGGUAACUGUUGCACUGUUUCGCAGGGUCGGCUCUUUUUGGCUCUCUCAGUUGCGUGCUUGUUAUUAAUAAACAUUUCUGUCUGGGGAGCGCCAGGAGGGGCAGGGAGGCACCGGCUCCUGCUUCACCCCAUCCUGCCCGGUGCUGCCGGAGCAAUGAACUUCCAGACCUGGCACUGGGAGCCCUCACACUGGGCAGAGCAAGUCCCAGUGGCGGGGCUGGUGCUUUCUGGUGGCGGAACACGGUGCCAAGAGGUUGCAAUGGCAGACAAUCGAGAUCGUACUGCGGCUGGGGAGAAAGGAGCGUGUGAGGGGAUUGGAAGUGGAGAGACUUCACAGGGAGCAGCCAGAGUAAAUGUACUCUGCGUCCCGUGCAGCCUGCCGGCUGGGUGAGACAUUCCGUCUGUUCCCUCCAGUUUCUGUUUUUCUCCUGAGCUCACUUUUGGACGGCUCUCGGCCUCCUUUCAUAAACUUGGCUGGAGGAGAGUCUGUGAAAACAAUGAAACGUUAGCGCCCAAGGAGAGUCCUUGUUGCCAUUCGCAGCUCUGCUUUGAUGAUUUGCCUGGCAGCAGGUGUGUGGAAGAUUACGGGCGACACCACAGAGGUGCUGCUGAAGAUAGGCUGUGCCAUCUUCUUUCCUCCUGCAUGGGAUCAGCAGCCCCUGGCUGGCUGCAGCUGUACGGAUCACAGCACAGCUGGGUCUUGGUUUCACCCAAGCUCCAUCCCAGGCUGCACACUGCGAGAGGGCACUGGCGGAGGUGGGAUCACAGCAGCCUGACAGAUCACACUGGUUGAAGUUCCCGUGCUGGGGAAGAAAAACAGCUGCUUGCUCUUCCCUGCCUGGAUCCACGGGUCUGUAAGGGCUGGGCAAUGGCCCUAGAGGGUCACUGGUGGGCUUGCAAGUAGAGGCAGCGGGCACAGAGAUGAGCGCCCAGCUCCCUGCUGUUUCACACCUGCCCAGACCUUCAUAGUAGGUGAAGCAACAAGUGGCAACUAACAGUUGGCCUGUCAUCUGCACCUGGGCCACAACUCCUUUCUUUGCUAGCCUCUCCCAUCACCAGGACUGCUUCUGUUGCCAACUACGCAGCAAACAGAGGGCCGCUGCAUUUUGCCUGAAGGGCAUCGGAGAGCCCUCAGUGUCAGCUUUCUCUGGGCGAGGUGUUUCCGUCAAGGCUUGGCCUCCCUAAUGGCAGAGCACCUGGGAAUUGGCACUGCCUCAUGCCAAAGAGAAGAUAAAACCUCAAAGGAAAAGAAAAUUAAAGGCGUUCAAAUAUGAAAACAGCAACAGAAGUUUCACAAUGGAGCUUUCCUUAUCAGAGUGAACUGCAUAAAUCUGCUUUCUGGAGCCUAUAAUAUUUCAUGGGUUUGAAACGCUGGUGGGAACCCAGCUUCUUUCUCUUUCCAUGGCCUGAUUUCUCAAGGCAGGAUGGUAACUUCUAUUGGAGCUUUCCUACAGAGGCAUGCAUGGCCCUUGGCCAGUGGUGAGCCCCAGAUCCUCUGCCACAGAACCUCACUGCUCCCCAGUGCUACCUCCAGGGGCAGGUCUGGCUGUGGCCAUCACUUUGCAUUGAGCAAUGGCUGGAAAGAGGGCUUAGCCAAAUCAAUGACUCCAGGACCAAGGGCUUCCAAUACCGAGGCAGUUAGAUCCAUCUGCUGCUUUUUGGAAAGCAGUAAAUUAUUGCUUCAUCCCCUGCUGCACACAGACACACACAAACACCCACAGACUUCACAGUCUGAAGAUCUGCUGUCUUUCUUGCUAGAAGGGCAAUUUCUACUCUCAUUUUCUAUGCUCAUUUGCCAGUAAAACCACCUCUUCUCUUACGUGAGGUUUUGAAAUAAUUCUUACAGGCAUAUAAGAGAACCUGUACUUAAAAUACCUCAAAUCUUUAUGGAACUGUACAGGGGGUUUGUUCUGCUAUUCCUCUGAAGACAAAGUGGGGCAACCAAGGCCAUGCAGGAGGUCAGCAACAGCAUCAAUGCUUGUGGCCCUCUGACUUGUCUUCCAGACCGCUAAGGAGGCUCCAAGCUGCACUGGUGUUGUGAGAACCAGAAGAAAAAAAAAAGGAUAAAGCUCUUUAAACCAAAUAAAUUAUUUUGUGACCUUUCCCGCUUUGUUGCUGAAGAAGCAGGAAUAAGAAAGGGGAGGGUAAAGAAGACGUCAGGAAAUCCAAGUGGAAAUGAAAAUAAGAAAUGGGUAGGAUUCAGCUCCCUAACCGUAGGCAAGAAGAGAUAUAUGAGAUACUUCAGGUCUCCCUUCAGCGGCAGCUUUACAAAGGCACGGUAUCUGUUAGGUCCUCCGUCAUGUCCGCAGCUGCGUGCAGACGCUGUGAAUGCUCCAGCACAUCUAGCAGGCUGCAGGCACCCUGGCUUGAGCAGCAAAACCAGCUGGGAAUAAAACAGACAUUUUCUAACAGAUGCAUGGAGUUUUAAGGGUUCAGAAAACCACCGACAUAUUUGGAAGGACUGAAAAAUAACAUUCUCCCUUGCGCAAGUGUGUGAAAAUCUCCUUACAAUCAGUGUCAAGGCAAUAACACAUGGUGUGCCAGCCCGAUUGUAUUUGCUGCCAUCUUCCUUAUAUGUGCCAUCGGCUGGCAGGCAAGUGCAGAAUAGGGGUUUCCAAAAGCUGUUCUUUUUAAUGUGAAAUUCCCUCUUGGUGUGUUGAACUCAUUUGUGCCUUCAGCUUGUAAGGUGUUAAAUACAGGAUCCUGGCCUUUCUGUGGCUUGUCCUCUCUCUUCUAUCAUACACAUGCACAUGCAUAUAUGAAGUUUAUAACUCAUCCUAGAGUUGUGUGAAAAGCAUACUUGGUGAUGCUCAUGACAAGAUAUUCACUAUUUGCCUGAAAAUCUCAUAAAUAAGCAUUUACCAUCAGCCCAAUCUAAUCUAAUCAUAAUCAAUACCGAUACUGUGAGAUCUUGUAAAACAUGACCUGCAUGGCAAGUUCUGCCACUUGCUAAUUACGCCCUUGGAGGCAGCAGUCAAUAGCUCCCAAGGGUUAGAUGGUUCCUACUUAGUCAGGUGUUUUCAGAGACUACCACUGACAUUCACUAAGGACUUGAACAACCACACAAAAACUUCAUACUAUGGCGUACAAAAUAAAAGGUGUUUGAAAGAUAGCAGGUGUUUGGAGGGUUGUUUUAAGACGAUAGGGAAACUGGCCAUAGAGCCCUGCAGAGCAGGCCUAUAGGGAACUGACAAUGUUUUUGGAAGAAAAAAAGAAGAAGAAAAGAGUGUUUUGUCCUACCCGAAACCAGCACAGCAGCCUGAACGAGCAUAUAAGUCACCCUAAGUACUACCUGCAGAUCAAUUUUCCAAACCUUUGGCUUGGGUACUUCAUUG